UGGGGAAUAUUGCGCAAUGGGGGAAACCCUGACGCAGCGACGCCGCGUGGAGGAUGAAGGUCUUCGGGUUGUAAACUCCUUUUCUUGGGGAAAAUAAUGAUGGUACCCAAGGAAUAAGCCACGGCUAACUCUGUGCCAGCAGCCGCGGUAAGACAGAGGUGGCAAGCGUUGUUCGGAAUUACUGGGCUUAAAGGGCGAGUAGGCGGUGAGACAAGUCCGAGGUGGAAUCCUCUGGCUUAACCAGAGAACUGCCUUAGAUACUGUUUCACUUGAGUCAGUGAGGGGAGGGCGGAAUUCCCGGUGUAGCGGUGAAAUGCGUAGAUAUCGGGAGGAAGGCCAGUGGCGAAGGCGGCCCUCUGGCGCUGAACUGACGCUGAGGCGCGAAAGCGUGGGUAGCAAA
This 400-nucleotide ribosomal RNA is filed under the name uncultured bacterium. RNAcentral's name for it is "bacterial SSU rRNA". It matches the Rfam family "Bacterial small subunit ribosomal RNA", at positions 355 to 772 of the family's 1533-position model. The record is from RNAcentral.